Bombus pascuorum is the source of this 1074-nucleotide long non-coding RNA. RefSeq lists it as uncharacterized. The transcript is spliced from 3 exons. The record is from RefSeq and is a predicted model, not a curated record. NCBI's taxonomy places the organism in Eukaryota, Metazoa, Arthropoda, Insecta, Hymenoptera, Apidae.
CAAACACUCUUAAAGGCACACGGACUGACGAACUCAAAAGGUGUAGCAGUAAAGCCAGCAUAAAACGCGUUAACACGGAAGGAGUGGAAAAAGGGACGAGAAGAAAAACAAGUCCAGACGCGGAGUCUCGAGAUGGUAAUAAAAAUGAAGAAUUAAAAUUGGCCAUGAUCAGAAACAACAAUGCAUCCUAACUUUUCUAAUGUUCUAAGGCAUGUUUCACCUACGUAGAAUCUGAAGAAUCUGAAGAAUUUCAAGAAUCCUAGAAUUUGAUGUAAAAUAUUCCAUCAUUAUGUCGCGAUAGUUUGUAUAAUGUAAAUUCUCUAUUUCGAAAGUAAAAAAUAAGGGACUAAUACUUUCAUUUUGAAAAGCGAAGAAAAUGCUAUAUAGAAUAGUUUAACUGAUUUAUAAAUGUGAUGAUUUAUAUAUAUAUAUAUACAUAGAUAUAGAUAUGUAUAUAUAUAUACACACAUAUACAGUGGUGCUAGUAUAUAAAUAAGAGAAAAAAUUAUUAUAUAUACUAAAUCGAAUGCAAUUUAGUCAUAGCUAAUAUAAUUGAGCCGUUCGAAUGACAAAUUUAGCACCUCUAUCCUCUGAAUGAUAUUUUCAGAAUUGGUUGCUAAAUGCGAAUUUGAUAUGAUCGAACACUUAGUUAUUUUAUGUUUUUCUAUGACGUAAUUAGUUGAAUUUAUGAAUUAACAUUUUCUUUUAACUAUUCGUACGCUCACCACUGUAUAUAGUAUGAGCCGAUGAAUGAAAAAUGAAAAAUUUCGUAUUUUAUCGCGUUUAGUUUUCGAUCCUCUAUUCUCCCGACUUGCGGUGAACACGAUUUCCUAACGAAUUUAUGAUAAUAUGGCACGUAUGUAACUGCACAAGUUUCCCUCGGAUUGGGGUGUGUAAAAAUUAGAAACGGGGGACACUAAUAACAACAAUACACUUCGUGAAUUAUAUCUCAAAAGUUAAGUAUAUAAAGACAAGUUUGUAAAAAGAAAUAUUCCCUGAAAAUAAUUAAUUCAAAUAAUAAUAAUAACAGGAGAAAAAACAGUAGUAACAAUAUUAAUUAUUAUUAUUAUAUUA